Molecule: long non-coding RNA, 515 nt
Filed under: Citrus sinensis (sweet orange)
Lineage: Eukaryota; Viridiplantae; Streptophyta; Magnoliopsida; Sapindales; Rutaceae
Description: long non-coding RNA (CSIN_LNC000971)
Source: RNAcentral
AAAAUUAUAAAACUAAUAAAGGUUUCCGCGAAGCAUACAUUUAUUUGCUCCAAGUAUAAACAGUGACUUGUUUAGUAGUAAGGUGGUGGAGGUGACUUAUAGAUGUACGGAGGGGGUGGGGAAUUGUAAACAUAAGGAGGUGGAGGUGGAGAUUUGUACAUAUACGGAGGAGGUGGUGGGGACUUGUACACAUACGGAGGAGGUGGUGGGGACUUGUACACAUACGGAGGAGGUGGUGGGGACUUGUACACAUACGGAGGAGGUGGUGGGGACUUGUACACAUACGGAGGAGGUGGUGGGGACUUGUACACGUGGUGGGGACUUGUACACAUACGGAGGAGGUGGUGGGGACUUGUACACAUACGGAGGAGGUGGUGGGGACUUGUACACAUACGGAGGAGGUGGUGGGGACUUGUACACAUAUGGAGGAGGUGGGGACUUGUAGAGAUAUGGUGGUGGGGACAUAUAGACAUAAGGUGGUGGUGGUGGAGACUUGUAGACGUAUGGUGGAGGAG